AUGGUUUAUAUCGUUGAACUGGAUGAUAUUUUCUCAUCAGUUUACUGCCCAUUUUUUCCAUCACUUGCGGGAGUCAUUAAUAGGUUUACUUACUAGGCAGUAACACAUGAACUCCUCGGGUAAUAAUACAUGAACUACUAGGUAUAUAAUUUUCCAUCGAGCACUUGAAAACAUAAAACAUUACACAAAGAGAAGCACUGAACAGUGCAUGUAAGAAUAAAUCCCACAUCCAUCAUAUACUAGAAGCUUCCACUUGAAUAGGAAAAUUUGUUUAUCCCUCACAGAUCAAAACACAAAACCUGAAGAAGAGAAGUAUUGGUUUCUCAUUGACAUAACAACAAACAGGAGCACAAAAUCAUAGUUAUUCGCCAAUGUCAGCACGGUGCAUCGUUCCAUUUUUCUCGUUGUUGUUGUUGUCUUCUUGGACUAUUGAAAGUGUUCUUCCUUGUCAUUUAUUGUCAUGGCCAAUAAUGCCUAAAAGUGCUCAUCCAGGUCUCCACUCUCCCGAAAUCCCUAACCCAUUAAAAAUCAAUAGAUUUACACAAUGAAUAUAGAAAUGCACGAAUGAAUCUCAUUCUCAAGAUCAGUGAUGAAGGAUGUAAUAAAUAUCAUUGAAAAAAAGCCAAAGCGUACAAUAAAUGAGAGCACAAAUAAAACAACGCCUUAGUUUUCCCAUGUUUCUUUGUGAUCCACAUUGGUUCUUUUCCUCAUUGAACUUUUCUUCCUAUGAAGUUAUGGUCCUUUUGAAUCUGAAGUGAUGAUAGACCGUUUUUUGCUAAACUGUCAUCACAUUUCUAGAGUGGUGGAGAAGGAGCUCAUGUCACUACUGAAUCAAUGGUAUUAGAAGUUCAUGUAAUAUAAGUAAAACAAACUAACUGAUUGUCAAGUGCUCCUAUGAACUAAAUUUAAAUUAGAAAUUAAAUAGAACUUAAUUUUUCUAGUGCUCCUAUGGGUAGUACACACACAACCUGACAAGGCACUGUACAAGUUCAUGUAAAAAGAACAACCAAGUUCAUAUAUAGUAAACAUUAUAAGUUCACAAAGAAACCUAAAAAGAGUUUUGUACUAUAUCUGCUAUAGCAACUAUAACAACCAAGUUAAUAUACGCCAUGGGGUCAGACUGGGAACACGCAAUGGAUCCUGGAGUGGUGGACAGGGGGUUCAUGUCACUACCACAUCAAUUAUGGCACCAGAAGUUCAUGGAAUAUAAGUAAAACAAACUAAUUGAUUUUUAAGUGCUCCUAUGAGCUGAACCUAAAUUAGGAAUUGAACUAAACUUAAAUGGUGGAAACUUAGGGUAAACCAGUCAGUUUAUACGAACUAGUUCUGCUUGGACUGAUACUUGGAUGGCUGCCAGUCACCAUGGUGGACGAGCUCGUGGCCAAGUGCGACCAAGGCGACCACCGGGAACUGUAGGUGCUUGUGCUUCUUCUCAGCAGCGAACUCACACAAGGUGUGCAUGAUUAGGGGAAGCAUGGUUCAUGGGUGGCCUUCAUCUUGCCGCCAGAUACGGGCUGCUGGCGCUCGUGGACGUCGUCGAUCGGACGCGGGGCAGCAUCACUCGUGGACAGAGAUCAAUAGAAGCUUUUCUAGCAAAGCAUUCUCUAAUGCAAAUCUUCCUAGCAACCUCAUCCAAUGCCACAAAUGCAUUAGCUCUGGUUUUAGUUGAAACUAAAUUUAGAUGAAAUGUGAGAAAAGCUGUUAGAAGGAUAAGAAACCAGUUCCAAGCAAGAAAAUAAACAAGUACAAGAAUGAGUAUAGCAAGAGGAGUUGCUGGCAUGUUUAUGUGAAUGCGUAUGUUUAUUCAGUACACCAUGUUUAUGUUGUUCAGUACACCAUGCUUAUGUUCUUCAGUACACCAUGUGAUGGAACUACAAACUCUUUUUCUCUCUGAAACAAGCAACAUUCACACAAACAUCCUACAUUUCUAGCGUCAGAAGUUACUUGUCAUGAACUGACAGAUUUACACAAGUAGACCAACCAAUGGCGAAAUCUACUAAAUGUUUAAAAGAAUCAGUAAUUUUGUACGAGUUGGGGAUUCAUGUGUUUCGUUGUACUGAAUUUAAUAACCAAAAUGCAUAUUCAUACAAGAAACAUCCAAAAAGAAGUUUAAGCACCUAGGUGGAAUAAAGUUGAAGCCGACAGCCAUGGACUACUGGUCGCGAUGAACUCGACCACCCUGAUGCCAUGGGGUUGGACUGAGGACGGCACACAUGCGCCCUUGACGGCGGCAGAGAACACGGGAGACUACAACU
Molecule: long non-coding RNA, 2255 nt
Filed under: Triticum aestivum (bread wheat)
Lineage: Eukaryota; Viridiplantae; Streptophyta; Magnoliopsida; Poales; Poaceae
Description: long non-coding RNA (TAES_LNC027268)
Source: RNAcentral